GGGACUGAGCCGUUUCGAGAAACGUGGGGACUGCUGUUUUUCCGCCAAUUUUGGUUGGAAAUUCUUUAGUGGAAACCAUCUUAAUCGCAGUGGCUUGAACCGGGCAAAAGUCGUAACAAGGUUUCCGUAGGUGAACCUGCGGAAGGAUCAUU
Molecule: ribosomal RNA, 152 nt
Filed under: Cystidicola farionis
Lineage: Eukaryota; Metazoa; Nematoda; Chromadorea; Rhabditida; Cystidicolidae
Also listed under: 1 other name
Description: partial putative 18S ribosomal RNA
Rfam family: Eukaryotic small subunit ribosomal RNA
Source: RNAcentral